GGAAUUGACGGGGAGCACCACAACGGGUGGAGCUUGCGGUUUAAUUGGAUUCAACGCCGGAAAUCUUACCGGGACCGACAGCAAUAUGAAGGCCAGGCUGAAGACUUUGCCGGAUUAGCCGAGAGGUGGUGCAUGGCCGUCGUCAGUUCGUACUGUGAAGCAUCCUGUUAAGUCAGGCAACGAGCGAGACCCACGCCCACAGUUGCCAGCGUACUCUCUGGAGUGACGGGUACACUGUGGGGACCGCCGCUGCUAAAGCGGAGGAAGGAAUGGGCAACGGUAGGUCAGUAUGCCCCGAAUAUCCCGGGCUACACGCGAGCUACAAUGGUUGGUACAAUGGGUAUCUACCCCGAAAGGGGACGGGAAUCUCCUAAAACCAAUCUUAGUUCGGAUUGAGGGCUGCAACUCGCCCUCAUGAAGCUGGAAUCCGUAGUAAUCGCGUUUCAACAGAACGCGGUGAAUACGUCCCUGCUCCUU
This 477-nucleotide ribosomal RNA is filed under the name uncultured Methanosaeta sp. Its description in RNAcentral is "bacterial SSU rRNA". It matches the Rfam family "Archaeal small subunit ribosomal RNA", at positions 861 to 1338 of the family's 1478-position model. The record is from RNAcentral. Lineage: Archaea; Methanobacteriati; Methanobacteriota; Methanomicrobia; Methanotrichales; Methanotrichaceae.